UUCAUCCAGACAGCAGGACGGUGGCCAUGGAAGUCGGAACCCGCUAAGGAGUGUGUAACAACUCACCUGCCGAAUGGAUUAGCCCUGAAAAUGGAUGGCGCUGAAGCGGACGGCUUAUACACCGCCAUCAGGGCAGGUUGUAGGCCCUGAUGAGUAGGAGGGCGUGGGGCUUGUGGCGCAGGCCGUGGCGCGAGCCCGGUUGAAACAGGCUCUAGUGCAGAUCUUGGUGAUAGUAGCAAAUAUUCAAAUGAGAACUUUGAAGACUGAAGUGGAGAAAGGUUUGACGUGAACAGCAGUUGGACGUCAGUGAGCCGCUCCUAAGAGAUAGGGAAAUUCCGUUCGGAAGUGGAGUGUUUUACCUGGGGUAUCUAGCUGAGGGGGGGAUUUUAUUUCUCUUUUGGUUAGCCUGGAGUGGACCACCCCGCACUCGAAAGGGAACACGGUUAAUAUUCCGUGGCCGGGAAGUGAGUGGUGCGGCAACGCAUGCGAGCCUGGGAACGUCGGAGGGAGCCUCGGGGAGAGUUCUCUUUUCUUGUUAACUGUUUUACUAUUACCCUGGAAUCGGUUUACCCGGAGAUAGGGUUACAUGUCAGGUAAAGCACCGCUCUUUUUGUGGUGUCCGAUGCGCUCUCGACGGCCCUUGAAACCCCAGGUAUCGGAACGUGUGAGGUCCUGUCGCCUUUAAUCGGGUGGCGGGGUAGCCUUGCAGAUGCAUACACCCCCGGGCGUACUCAUAACCGCAUCAGGUCUCCAAGGUGAGCAGCCUCUAGUUGAUAGAAUAAUGUAGAUAAGGGAA
RNAcentral lists this ribosomal RNA (796 nucleotides) under Schmidingerella taraikaensis. RNAcentral describes it as "partial Eukaryotic large subunit ribosomal RNA". It matches the Rfam family "Eukaryotic large subunit ribosomal RNA", at positions 1228 to 1912 of the family's 3401-position model. The record is from RNAcentral. Lineage: Eukaryota; Ciliophora; Spirotrichea; Tintinnida; Rhabdonellidae.